AGAGUUUGAUUAUGGCUCAGGACGAACGCUGGCGGCGUGGAUAAGUCAUGCAAGUCGAGGGCCCCGCAAGGGGACCGGCAGACGAGGUAGUAAUAAUCAGGUACGUACCCAGGGGUCGGGCAUAGCUCGCCGAAAGGCGGGGUAAUUCCCGAUAGUCUCGCAAGAGUAAAGCCAUAUAUUUAUAUAUUGGUCGCCCCCGGAAUGGCCUGAUCGGUAUCAGCUAGUUGGUAAGGUAACGGCUUACCAAGGCUAUGACGCCUAGGGGACCUGAGAGGGUGACCCCCACCGAUGGGACUGAGAUACGGCCCAUACACCUACGGGUGGCUGCAGACGAGAAUAUUCGACAAUGGGCGAAAGCCUGAUCGAGCGACGCCGCGUGGAGGAUGAAGUGCUUCGGUAUGUAAACUCCUUUUGCCAGGGAAAAAGUUAUUGAUUGUACCUGGAGAAUAAGACGUUGCUAAACUCGUGCCAGCAGCAGCGGUAAUACGAGUGCGUCAAGCGUUAUCCGGAAUCAUUGGGCGUAAAGGGUGCGUAGGUGGCGAUGUUAGUCUCGCGUAAAUCUUUCGGCUCAACCGAGAGGCUGCGUGGGAAACGGCAUUGCCUGAGGCCGGGAGAGGUUUCUGGAACUCUAAGUGUAGCGGUGAAAUGCGUUGAUAUUUAGGGGAACACCAAAAGCGAAGGCAAGAAACUGGCCCGGUCCUGACACUGAAGCACGAAAGCGUGGGUCGCGAAUGGGAUUAGAUACCCCAGUAGUCCACGCCCUAAACGAUGAUAACUAGAUAUGGGGAGUAUCGACCCUCUCCGUGUCGUAGCAAACGCGUUAAGUUAUCCGCCUGGGUAGUACGGCCGCAAGGUUGAAACUCAAAGGAAUAGACGGGGACUUGCACAAGCGGUGGAACAUGUGGCUCAAUUCGACGAUAAACGAAGAACCUCACCAGGCCUAGAAAUCCAGACGAAUACCUGCAGAAACGUAGGUAGUCGCAGACGGCUGGACAGGUGCUGCAUGGCUGUCGUCAGUUCGUGGUUUGAACUGUUCCCUUCAGUGGGGUAACGAACGCAACCCCUGUUGCCUGUUAUAAGUGUCAGGCGAGACUGGCCCCACACGGGUACGUCACAGAUUGAAGAUUAAAGAUUUAAGAUUGAAGAUUAAUUUUUUCAAUUUUCAAUCUUUAAUAUUCAAUUGUGGUUUUCCGGUGUGGGGGAGGAAGGUGGGGAUGACGCCAAGUCAGCAUGGCCCUCUGACGGCCUGGGCUGCACACGUGUUACAAUCGCAUCUACAACGGGACGCAAUGCCGCGAGGCGGAGCAAACCCUUAUAAAGGAUGCGCCAGUUCGGAUAGAAGUCUGCAACUCGACUUCUUGAAGCCGGAAUCGCUAGUAAUCGCAGGUCAGCUAUACUGCGGUGAAUACGUUCUCAAGUCUUGUACUCACCGCCCGUCAACCCAAGGGAGUCGGUGGUGCCCGAAAUCUCGCCUCGUGCGGGCCUAAGGCAAAAUCGAUGACAGGGGGUAAGUCGUAACAAGGUAACC
RNAcentral lists this ribosomal RNA (1528 nucleotides) under uncultured bacterium. Its description in RNAcentral is "bacterial SSU rRNA". It matches the Rfam family "Bacterial small subunit ribosomal RNA". The record is from RNAcentral.